AUUCUACUCCCUCCGUUGCACAAUACAUGCCUUCUAUUUGUCAAAAUAUAUAAUGUAUCUAGACAUGUUUUAGUAUAUAGGUACAUCCAUUUUUGGACAAAUGGAAGUCAAGUAUUUUGGAACGGAGGGAGUACACA
Molecule: non-coding RNA, 137 nt
Organism: Triticum aestivum (bread wheat)
Lineage: Eukaryota; Viridiplantae; Streptophyta; Magnoliopsida; Poales; Poaceae
Source: Rfam